UACAGAGGGUGCAAGCGUUAAUCGGAAUUACUGGGCGUAAAGCGCGCGUAGGUGGUUCGUUAAGUUGGAUGUGAAAUCCCGGGCUCAACCUGGGAACUGCAUCCAAAACUGGCGAGCUAGAGUAGGGCAGAGGGUGGUGGAAUUUCCUGUGUAGCGGUGAAAUGCGUAGAUAUAGGAAGGAACACCAGUGGCGAAGGCGACCACCUGGGCUCAUACUGACACUGAGGUGCGAAAGCGUGGGGAGCAAACAGG
RNAcentral lists this ribosomal RNA (252 nucleotides) under uncultured bacterium. RNAcentral describes it as "partial 16S ribosomal RNA". It matches the Rfam family "Bacterial small subunit ribosomal RNA", at positions 524 to 776 of the family's 1533-position model. The record is from RNAcentral.